RNAcentral lists this ribosomal RNA (393 nucleotides) under uncultured bacterium. RNAcentral's name for it is "partial 16S ribosomal RNA". It matches the Rfam family "Bacterial small subunit ribosomal RNA", at positions 523 to 918 of the family's 1533-position model. The record is from RNAcentral.
AUACGGAGGAUGCAAGCGUUAUCCGGAUUUAUUGGGUUUAAAGGGUGCGUAGGCGGUUUGCUAAGCGGGAGGUGAAAUGCCGGCGCUCAACGUCGGAAGUGCCUCCCGAACUGGUGGACUUGAAUGACUCUGCCGUGGGAGGAAUGUGUAGUGUAGCGGUGAAAUGCUUAGAGAUUACACAGAACGCCGAUUGCGAAGGCAUCUCACGAAGGGUUGAUUGACGCUGAGGCACGAAAGCGUGGGGAUCAAACAGGAUUAGACACCCUGGUAGUCCACGCAGUAAACGAUGAUGGCUAACCGCUGGGCUUAUCAGUUCAGUGGCCAAGCGAAAGCGAUAAGCCAUCCACCUGGGGAGUACGACCGCAAGGUUGAAACUCAAAUGAAUUGACGGGG